Molecule: ribosomal RNA, 379 nt
Filed under: uncultured eukaryote
Lineage: Eukaryota
Description: partial 18S ribosomal RNA
Rfam family: Eukaryotic small subunit ribosomal RNA
Source: RNAcentral
CAAUAGCGUAUAUUUAAGUUGUUGCAGUUAAAAAGCUCGUAGUUGGAUUUCGGAUGGGAUUUGCCGGUCCGUCGUUACGAUGUGCACUGGCCAGUCCUAUCUUGUUGUCGGGGACUAGCUCCUUGGUUUCACUUCCUGGGACUAGGAGCUGACGAGGUUACUUUGAGUAAAUUAGAGUGUUCAAAGCAAGCCUACGCUCUGAAUACAUUAGCAUGGAAUAACACGAUAGGACUCUGGCUUAUCUUGUUGGUCUGUGAGACCAGAGUAAUGAUUAAGAGGGACAGUCGGGGACAUUCGUAUUUCAUUGUCAGAGGUGAAAUUCUUGGAUUUAUGAAAGACGAACUUCUGCGAAAGCAUUUGUCAAGGAUGUUUUCAUUAA